CGCGUAGGCGGUUUGUUAAGUCGGACGUGAAAGCCCCGGGCUCAACCUGGGAAUUGCACCCGAUACUGGCCGACUAGAGUACGAGAGAGGGAGGUAGAAUUCCACGUGUAGCGGUGAAAUGCGUAGAUAUGUGGAGGAAUACCGGUGGCGAAGGCGGCCUCCUGGCUCGAUACUGACGCUGAGGUGCGAAAGCGUGGGGAGCAAACA
This 207-nucleotide ribosomal RNA is filed under the name uncultured bacterium. Its description in RNAcentral is "partial 16S ribosomal RNA". It matches the Rfam family "Bacterial small subunit ribosomal RNA", at positions 568 to 774 of the family's 1533-position model. The record is from RNAcentral.